AGUGAACGCUGGCGGUAGGCCUAACACAUGCCAGUCGAACGGCAGCACAGUAAGAGCUUGCUCUUACGGGUGGCGAGUGGCGGACGGGUGAGGAAUACAUCGGAAUCUACUUUUUCGUGGGGGAUAACGCAGGGAAACUUACGCUAAUACCGCAUACGACCUACGGGUGAAAGCAGGGGAUCUUCGGACCUUGCGCGAUUGAAUGAGCCGAUGUCGGAUUAGCUAGUUGGCGGGGUAAAGGCCCACCAAGGCGACGAUCCGUAGCUGGUCUGAGAGGAUGAUCAGCCACACUGGAACUGAGACACGGUCCAGACUCCUACGGGAGGCAGCAGCGGGGAAUAUUGGACAAUGGGCGCAAGCCUGAUCCAGCCAUACCGCGUGGGUGAAGAAGGCCUUCGGGUUGUAAAGCCCUUUUGUUGGGAAAGAAAAGCAGCAGGUUAAUACCCCGCUGUUCUGACGGUACCCAAAGAAUAAGCACCGGCUAACUUCGU
Molecule: ribosomal RNA, 491 nt
Filed under: uncultured bacterium
Lineage: Bacteria
Description: partial 16S ribosomal RNA
Rfam family: Bacterial small subunit ribosomal RNA
Source: RNAcentral